This 10544-nucleotide long non-coding RNA is filed under the name Gallus gallus (chicken). RNAcentral's name for it is "lncRNA (ENSGALG00010019749.1)". Lineage: Eukaryota; Metazoa; Chordata; Aves; Galliformes; Phasianidae. The record is from RNAcentral.
CUAAUCGUACAGCAGAACUCAGAUUGGUUUUUUAGAAACUCAAUCUCAGUUGUCCAUCAGAGUACUUCUAGUAUUAAACCUUCUUAGUAUAUAAGAAAGAAAUCCUUGCCCAUGCUACCAUUUCCUGAUUGAGAUGACCUAAAAAACAUCUGUUGCUUAUCCAUGCCUUGGGUACAGAGCAGUGUAGGUAAAAGCUUCCCUGCUGAUGUGCCCAGCCUGGUUCAUAAGGAUAUUCUUUGAAGGAUCAGCAUGGAUUCAUCAAAAUGGAAGGUUGCACUCUGAAAGAUGUCUAUGUGCGCCCUUCCCAAGCACUCAGAGGAGAAAGCACAGCCCAUCAAGGCUCAAGAACUUCAGCCUUCCUGGGUCCAGAGAUCAACUGCGGAAGAAGAAAUAUGAACGUCUUCUCCUGAGAGGCAGGCUUAAAUACCGUCUGGAAUUAGUUCAUUAGUUCAUAUUCCAACAAUCGGGUCAGACUGUAAUGACAAGGCCCAGUAACUUCCAGUCAUAAUCACAAAUUCAGUGCCACGCAGACAUGGCUAGAAAUAAAACAGGCUGUUUUGCUACUCAGCUUUCUGGGAAAUGUACUUCUAAUCUGCCCAGCAGAAAGUCAUUUCAAGCCACUUAGGCUUGACAAUUCUCAGUGUGGCUCAGAUUUAGAUCUGGCCAGACUUUAAAAUGCUGCAAACACAAAAUGGGUGAUAGACCUCCAGCAAUACUAUGGUUUCACCUUCUUGAUAGUUUUUCAAAACGGACUGGUAACCAAAAUACAAACACUUCUGAAUAUUUAGCCCUUCCUUCUGUCCAUCAUGCUGAGGUUAAACCAUCCCAAGACAAGGACCUUGGAAGAAGAUCCCUCAUACUUCAUCUUGCCCUGUGCUCUUAACUCAAGGCAGGAUCUCCUUUGCCUUUGCUGGGAAAUGGCUUUCCUAAACAUCAUGACUAUGGCUAGACUGUUGAGUCAUCCUGCAAUAAUUGUUUUAAUGACAAUUAAAAAGCCUUACUUCUGAUCAUUUAAAAGAACAUUAAAUUUCAGCCCUAAGGCAAUGAACUACUGGCAAAAGAGGAGCAGUUUCAAUGAAUUCAAGGAUUUCCUUGUCUCUCUCUCUCUUUUCCUCUCUCUCUCUCUCUCUCUCAUUUUUGCCAGCUAACAUCAGACAAACAGGGCUUGCAGGGAGAAGUAAUAUACUUCAUUAAACCAAAUGAUGCUGCUAGGAGAAGCAGACAAGCUUUCAGACACAUAGUUCCUUCAGGUCAAACAUCAGGUCAAUAAUUUUGAAAAUACUGCAAAAGCAUACUUAUCUCCAGUCAUAGCAAAUGCACUUUUGAGCUUUACCAAUGCUUAUUAAACCGUUAACAUUUUGGUUUGGGAAUGGAUGCAAGCUCUGCGCAGCGCUGGAGCAGAAGACUUCUCCAUUAGAGUUUACAGAUGAAAGAGAGCAGAAUCUAAAAAACACUCCCCGGUCUGUGCAGCAAAUGCCCAUUCUGUACAGUGCAAUGCAAAUAUUUUCCCUUCCAGGAUUUCAAAAUAUUUUAUUUGAAGUCAUUGAAUUACUCAAAGGAUAUUUUAAUUUUAAUUUUUCUUCAUGCCUGAAGAAAUGGAAUGUGGAAACAUCUUCUCCAUGCUAAUCCUUCACCCAUCCAUUACUGUCACAGUCAUUCCAGUCCAUUUUCAAGACUGUUUGGAAAAUCCUACAUUGUACCUUACCUCUCUCAUCUUUCUGGAGCUGCUUUAUUAUUCUGUCAUAACGAAACAUAGAUGAAGAAAUUACAAGUCUUCAUUCUCUUUUGGCACUUCCAUUUGAAAAAGGAGAAAGAGAAGUUCAGGUGUUCACUUCAAGGACAACAUGAAGUCUGAUCACACUCCCCUUCCUCCUGCCAGGUUUCAUCACACUUUCAGGGUAUUUUGGAAGGCAGAAAGUGCCUCACUGUGCUUUGUGACUUUGGGUGCAGCAUUUCAACAGCUGUUCCAGUUUGCUUUAGAGAGAACAAAGAUGCUACAAAAUUCUGAUUUUCUCAACUCCCUGAGGCUCUGUUAUGAAGUAUUUAGCAAGUGACAACGAUCCCAUUUGUGACAUUCUUAUUUCUAAGUUAGCAGUGAUAAUCCCACAUGGUUUUAAAAGGGAUCCUGACAUACCAAAAGCUCUGUCUUUUAGGUGAAAUAUAGAAACCCAAUCCUUCUGUUCUCAGCAAUUACAAGUUCCUACACAAACCAGUUGUUAAGGUUGGUGUCCUGGCCAAACUCCAGCCUGUCAUUCUGACUCCUCACUCUUCUCCCACCCUUCCUCCUUCUACCCGAGGGCAGAUAUGGCAGGAAAAGAAGCAGCACACAAAUGCACACUGUCUCAAAGGUGUGCAAUGCAGCACUGGGCUUGGAAAGCCCCACGGUAUUUACACCAUACUGAAUGCAGGAAAAUAAAAGGUGAUCUACACAAGCCAUUAAAUCCUUAUUUGGAAGCUUUAUAGGACUAAAAAUACCAUAUAUAUACAUUGUACAAUGAAAUAUAAAUACACAACACUGAACAUAAACUGUAUAUAAACACUGUAGUUCACUAUGAAAAAAUACCUGUGAAUUAAGCACCUGACUUCAAGUGUAUCUGAAUAUACAACAACAGAGCUGCUGCAGGCUGGCUCGACUUCCAUAUGUGCAAGUACUUUCUGUAUAUAUGUUAACGCUCAUAUAGCAAAGUAAAGCAUGGUUUACAAGUAAUAAAAAAGACAGAAUAUCCUACAAAAAGUUAUUUUUAACAGCAAAAUGCAAAGAACUUAAAGACAGAUAGUACACAGAUUUAAAGAAUUGUUAUAAAUUAUUGUGGGGAACUUGGAAAAAUAAACUGACCAGCCAUUUGAAACUGUGUAGUUCUAACAGGUUAUUUUGGGUCCUAGUACUUUAAUAUUAAUAAGAGAAUUAACAUAAAUGUAAAAAUAGCACAAGCAGUAGCCUGCUGACCUGGUAAUGCACUGUAGCAAAGAACUGAGUGGAGAAUCUUAUUGCCAUCAGCAUAACUGCCCAAAGGAUAGCAGCAACCAACCAAACAUCACAUCAUGGGAAUAAUCAUGAACAUCUGAAAUUUUCAGUGGCUUCCGCACUGGGUUAUGUUUUAAGCUGUAAUGCACUGUAAUCCUCUUCACAUGCACACAAACGAACAAGUACCAAAACCCCAGACAAACUUGUCUGUCUCAAACCUUUGUCUAUUUGGGGUGCAGGGGAAGAAGAGAGAGUAGAGCACAAUUCCUACAUAUUCUGUACGAACUCCAUUGAAACCCCAGGCAAGAAACAUUUAUAUUCCUGUGGCAGAAACCUCGCAGCAUAACCAAGUGAAUCACAAAUAGGUUAAAACCCAUUUUGCUGACUUGCGGAGCCCUCUGAAGACAGGAGGCUGAAACUGUGUGUGUGCAAUCAGUAACCCGGAACAGGAGUCCCUGUGUAGCAGUGGCUUCACAUGUGGAAGGUGGCAGUGGUGUGACAGCAUACACCAACAUACUCAUUUAAUUAGCAUUAGGCUUAGUGCUGCCCUCUGAUAAAUGUACAGCAGUUGGUAAAAGGUCUUUGCUUGCAUCCUCCUAACACAGUCAAUUCAAUCUACCACAAACUUGUGGCAGCCAAAAGCAGCCACAACUGCUCAGCCCCAUUGGCAGUCCUUGGCCAGCAUUUCUGCUCAGUGUGGGAACCUGAAUUAGGCAACUGAACAAGCUGGAAACAACCCUCCUGCUUCCGCUGUUGGGCCAGUUUUCAGACGUAUCUGAAGCCAGCUCAACAUAACCUACGUGAUGGAAGCCAGCUUAGUGCAAGGACAAGGGAGGUGGCAGGAGUGAGCAGGCAGGGACACUGCCAGCCCUUGGGGAAGGUGCUCAGGAUCCCAGUCAAGUGCUGAGUUAGAGACCUGAAGCAGAGAAGUUUGCUGACAUCAUGAUGUAAGUCACUGUGUAUGCCCUUUUGCUUUUCUGCAAGCUUGUUACAGUUUUCCUUGUUUUCUCUCAAGGAAGGUUCACUGACUAGUCAAAAGAAGACAUUGUUGGCUCACCCAUGGGUGCAUUUAUCACAGCAGUACAGCUAGCUGGUGUUCCUUUGCCAUGUAGACCUCAGUCUUAACUCAGAGAAUUGAUGAAUGCCUUCUUUACUAGAACUCUAUUCUUUCUUAAGCACAUGAACUUGUACAGCAGAAUUGUAUCUUAUUUUUAUUACUCCACACCUCAAAGUCAUUAAAUUCAUCUCAUAUAACACUCUAAUCUUACUCUUUAUUGACUAUGCCAUCUAAAAUUCUGUAAAUGGCAAAUUUCAUUAGUAGACAUAACUUUUCACAGUGUUGCACAGUUUAAACACUAAAUACGAUCAGGCCUAAGUAGGAGCUAAGUAGGAUACUCCAGAUGUAAUCUCCCCCAUUGUUUUGAAUCUGAAACUUGAGACUAAACCAAAUCUAACGUACUAAAACACAGGUAACCUACUCAAAUAAUCUAUGGAAUGCACUUUACACACAGAACCAAACUGUAAGGCAGGAAACAGCAAAUGUGGAUUUGCUUCAUGCUCUGUUUUUCCCCCCAAUAAAUAAGUAUAGGCUCCCAACAAGUUGUUAGGCCUUUUCUCAUAUUUAGAGUGCUCAUCUAGAGGCAGACUAGAGGUAAUGUCCAUUGAUUGUUCACACUUGGUGCUGGCUUGAACUGAUCACCUCUUUAAUUAACCACAUAAAACUAGCGGCCUAAAGGUUAUGGUGUUUUGCCCCCCACCUGUAGGGUUCCUCUUCACUGAGAAGUUAUUCCGUUAAAGUUAUAGUGAGAAGAAACCAAUAGCGGAAAUGAUAAAGGAUAUCCCUCUGCUCCAUUUGAAAGAACUGUUGCAAAAAACUUCACAACAAAAAAGAUUUCAAUAAAAUAACAUUUUUUUUCCCUUUGAUGCCUAGGGAAAAGAAAGCAGAAUAUAUUUAUUUUCACUAUAUUUAAAAUGUCUUUUGUAAUAGAAAAAUGAAAAUUACAAGGCAAUGGCACACUACCACAGAGGACAUAGUGUAUUCACCAGCAGUAAUAUUGUAGUCCUCUGAUCUGCCGUAUCCAUGGUUUCAUCUUUGAAAAUGUGAGCAUAAACAUCAUGCGGAUGGGAAAAAGUCAGAAACAAAUAAAGGUUUACUUGGAUUGUGGAUAGAUGGGCUAUAUCCUUAUAGAAUCAGUGUAGAUUUAUUACCCAAAAAGACCUUCUGAAAAAUCUCACCUAUAUAUUAAGAAUGCAGAGGCCACUGUGGAGAUCUGCAAAAUUUUGUCAGGUCAGUACUAGUGGCAUCGCCAUUAUCUCCUUUAAUGAGUCUUGUAAAUGACAAAGUGUCAAACAAUUAACACAUUUCCCCCCUAGUCUUGCACUUUGGAUAACACAUACUCCCCACAAGUGGGAAAGAAUCUAUUUUGGCUUACUUUCAAUUUGUGCAACAAGGGCACAAAUCUAGCCUCAAGAGCAGUGAGUCUGGUAUAUCAUUACUGUUUUCUGCAGGUACGUACACACAUUUAAAAGACAGGAAGGCUUCGGUCUGAGCUCACAAAAUUACUAAUGAUGAAGCAAAAAUUACUGUUGGCAAAUAGGCACUUUGCAUAAUGUGUGAAAUAUUUUAGCACCUUUAAAAAGUCAUGUCAAGUGAUAGGAAAAUACUCUUCCUCCUUGCCUUUGUCUGAAUAAAAACAAAAAUGAGAAACCUUAAUAGCUCUAGUUGAAUUUAUAUAUUCUUUAGUGUUUAACUUCAGAUGCAGUCAUCAUCGUUUUUGGCUGAUAGUACAGGACAAGCAAUAUAUGGGUGAUUUAAGAGCUGGAAUUAAUAGAUAUAAGCAAAGACCUCUAAAAAUUCAAUGCAACAGAUCUGAAGUCAUGUUCUCAUUCUGUGUGUACAAAAUUACUCAGAAAGUAAUUUAGCUCCUCCUAAUAAUGUUUCCUUUUGUGCAACACAACUUGAAGCAAGGCACAACAUCCCAGCUUCUCUCACUGAAAAAGAAAGUUUGGCCUGCCAGCAAAUGCAAACUCAAAUGCAAUGUGCCAGAUCUGAACAGCUGUAUGUAUCCCACUUCUCCCGAGGCUCCAUCACAUGCCACAUGCCAGUCACCAUAAUUAGUGAGAGUUAGAAGGAAAACUCACAGUACAGUUAGGAAAUGUACAGCAUUAUACAUAAAUAAAAGAUUAGUGCUCCCUAGUGCUCUUGUCUCUUCUCUUUCCUCCCCACAGACCAAUAACAGUGUUGAAUUCUGAUGAAGCAAAGCAUGGUUCAACCUCAGGCAUUUUGUGAGGCAGAAAGCAAUUAAUCGGCAUUAAAGUGAUACAUAACAACAUACUUUUUUUUUUCUGGUGGGGAAACGGUCAACUAAAUAGUUAACUUCGGCGCUAUGAACACAUUUUAACCAGAAAUUUACAUUCUUACUUCAUUUGUCAUUCACCACUGUAAAAAAAACUUCUACCUGAUUCAUCUAAGCCUUCAAAGAUGGUUUUAACUCUAACCUGCCUAGACAGUCUAUGGAAGCUGAAGGAUAAAAACAGGCCUAAUAUUAAAUGCAUGCUUAAGUGUUUGCUGAAAUGAGAGCUUGGAUUAAAUUCCGAUUGGGUGAUAAAUUGCAGUAGGAGAAAAUACAGUAGAUGUUUUCACCCAUGAUUCUCCAGUCAACAGCAUGAAACAGAGAAUAUUACAUUGCGCCUCCUGUAAGAACUAAUGAAGCCUAAUGCAGUUGCUCAUUUGUUUGUUUGUUUGUUUGUUUCCUGGAAGCACAGACAGAUGCAGGGAAGGAGAGAAAUAAAAGGGAAAUACUGAUCCAAAAUCCUAUCCGUACAUGAUGCUUUUGUUUCAGUUUUGUAAAAUUUGUGCCUUCUGAUGUCUGGGCACACCUAGCGAGAAAAUAUCAAAGAAAUUCAACAAUUUUCUGGCUUGAUUAUCGAAAAUGCUAUGUUGAAAGAACCUAUGAGGUGAGGCACAGCAAGACGGACAGUGUGCCUACAUCUUUCAAGUUUACAACUGUCAAAUUUGUUAAACUAUGCUAUUUUUAGUGAAAUUACAAUUUGGAACUGGCACAUUGAUUCCACACAGUUGGAGCCUGCUUCAAUGCCAGUGAACAUACUUUGAUUUAUUGCUCUUUUAUUCAGGUCAGGAACCAUAACCUUGGGUGCAGCCAACUCAUCGGUCUCUGUGCUUGAGACAAGAGGUGAAUAUGGCCUUUAGAAUUAAAACAGUUUAUGCUAUGAGGGAGAAGAUGACCUGAAACAAAUUUUCUGUAAUUAGCUAUAACUAAAUUUGCCUGCAACUUAAUGAAACAGACAACAGGAUAGGAAAAGAGAGUUGGUUAUUAUUAAGGAAAAUGAAAUCUGGAAGUUGAGAAUGAGCUUAAAUAAAAAAAAAAAAAAAAAAAAAAACAACCAAAAGAAAACAGAUAACCACCAAGAUAAUCAUUUCUUAGAUAAAUGGGGACUGGAAGAAUUUUAAGGAGGUGUCACUAGAAACACCGUAAGUAUCUUGAAGUAAGACCAGAAAACAAUAAACAUCUGACAAUAUUUAAUUUCUCUCAUCCAUUCAACCUCAGUUCAAAUGUUACUUGUGCAUUCUCUAUACUUUGAUCAAUAAUGUACCAGUAUGUGAAGAACAAGCAACAUCAUCUGCACUCAAACAAAGAAAAGAAAACACAGUAAAGUUGAGGGAGGUGCUAAGAAGGAGAAGAGACAUGGUCCUUGAAAUGCCCUUUCUCAAAAUUAGGAGGAGAAAGAUGGCAGUUACACAAGAAAAAUUAGAAACGUAAGCAUCCAUUGCUUCCUUCAAAACCAACACAUUUCAUUUGAAUCUUCUGAAGACCUGUAUAAUAACAGGAGGCGUUUACUGCACUGUGCUGAGUACAAGAACUGUCUCCAUUAGUGCUACUAGGAGACAAUGAAAGGAAAUUCAACCUUUUUUGCAACCUGACAAAUCACUAACAGUCCCUCUCAGUCUGAUGGUGGCUAUGUUUGAAAAGCCUAAUGUUAUGACAGAUGUCAAGGAGAAGCAUAUAAAAAAAAAGGCAAUCUUAAAACAAAAUCCAUGAAAAUAUGUAACUUGUAAACCUGGCACUAUUCCUUUAAAGUGAAAACAAUUAAGCACCAUUUUAAGCAAAGUAGCCAGAGGGAAUGACAGAAAUCAAAUAUUUUUAUUUCCAGAUUAAGUAACAUUAAGAGAAGAAAAACACAAAACACAAAGAAUAAAAAGGAUUGGUUCUGCAUUGCUAAACCAUAAGGGACAAAAAACAGUGUUGGCAUAACAUUUUUCAUUAACUACAGUAAAAGCAAAACGUACAUAUCAGUGUUACACAUCCUCUUCUUGCCUAAGGCUCUGAUUAAGUUCCCCAAACUUCUUUUGCUCUACAGCUUUUAAUGCACCACCACAUAUUUUUCUGCUAUCAUUGAACAUGUCAGAGAAAUAUCUCUGCAGCACACUAAAUCUAGGUUAAGAAUCAUGGAAACAACAAAUUUUUUUUUCUUACUUGAGAUAAAAAAGCGGCGAUGGUAAGGGAUUUUUUCUAGUUAACUACAUCCGUAUCUGAGAAAUAACAGCCAUGGUUUUGUUACAGCCACAAGUACUCAGGUCACCCAAAGUAAUUGGUGGGUAAUGGCCGCUUGGAGAAUUUAUUUUGCAUAAGAAACCGUCCUGAUACGAAUUGGUACAAGUGGCAUGGCCUCUUCCCAUAUAAAUUCCUUUCAAUUUCUGGUAUAUGCUAUAUGUGCUUAAGGGAAUACAGCAGAGGAAUAUGCAGUCUCUGGAAAUUUACUGAACCACAAUAAGAAAGAAUAGUUCCUUAAUUUUUCACCUCACUGCAUCUCCGAACUGUACAACACUUCCUUGACAGAAUUCCCUUUUCUUUACAAAAGGCCAUAACAUUUACAGUCCACAAUAACUGCUGGGUUGUGACAUCAGUCUUUGUGAAGGCAGGAAAACAGUACUCCUGACACAGACAUCCAGACUGGUGAAGACUGAACAGUUACUGGUUCACACCUAUUUGGAUAACAACAUACGUGCAUACAUUCAGGUGCUCAUAACUUCUCCCUCCUCUUGUUUCUAAAACAGGAAUUUUUUCUUCCAUGUUGUUUAGGAUCCACAGAGGGGAAAGGAAAGCCGUAUAAUGAGAUGCAGUAGAGUGCACAUAGAAAUAAUAUAGAGUAUAUAGAUAAUAUGGAUGUAAUAAAAGAAUAAAAACUGCUAACAAACUUCCCUUUGCAAGCAAGAUUUCCACUGUGCAACACACAAAUAGAACAGUACCUACUUCACCCUCUCCAGCCUCAUGAACUUUUGGGAAGUGGGGUAAUAUUUCAGUAUUAAUAAAAUAAGAUCAGCUGUUAAACUGAUACAGAAAUCAUCUUUGGGCACUAGCAAGCCAAAUUUUCCUUGCAGCAUGAAGGAAGAAAUUUUCAUCAGUUUAAAAAUGAUGUUUUGUGUAUUUGACUUACACAGAUACUCCCUUCACAAAGAUACAUGCUUCCUAACAGAGGAGCAAACUGCAUCUAAAAUUUCCUCCUCCUCCUCCACAGGACAUUACAGAGCAGCUGCAAAAACUGGGUUUAUCAAGUUCACAUACAAAUAGCCACCUUGGAGGAAAGAUGGCACAUGGAUCUCCUCCCUCAGCUCCUCUCAGCAGCCCAGAGGUUGCCUGCAGUACUGGGACAGCUGCUGAUAGGUGGGCAGCUGAUGAAUGACACAUGCUUAGAGGGGAAAUCCAUGGAAAGAUAGGAAUGAUCUGCAUUUUUCACCAAAUUAAAACUAAGGGGAAAAAAAAGACGCAUCAACUACCGAAUGCUGAAAUCUAACUGAACUGCUGAGCAUACCCUUUAAGUGAUAUUUCUAUAAACAGCUUGGAAAGCCAAUAAGGCACGCGAGAAAAUUUACUAUUAUUUUAGACUUUUGCAGACAAACUUGUUCUAAAGGCAUUUACAUAGGUGUGGAGAUUGAUGUAAGAAUACUGAGCCGUGCACUUCGUUUUAUAUUUCAAACCUUGACUGACUUUUUCAGGCACCAUUAAUAUCUCCUUUAUGUACUGAGGUUUGCGUGAAGCAAAUGUACAAUCUGUGCGCAUUGUCAGACUUAAAACCAUUGAGAUAAUGCCUUGGGAGAGAGGUCCACAAAUAAGCGGUCACUCCUACCAGCAAUAAGGUUUAUGCUUAAGUGAGGUUUCUACUCUGCACCCCUCCCUGCAGAAGCAGAGGACCAAACACAAUUGUGCUUGUAGUGAUCAAAAAGAAGUAUAGGUAUUUUCAGCAUUUUUAUGCCAGCAACCCAGUUAGCUCUUAAAUGAAUGAACCCAAGCAAUUCGUGCAAGGAGCUCCAUCAUCUGACACAGCUGCAUUGAUAUCCAGGUUAGAACUCCAGAACUAAAUAUUUGCAUUAUAUCUGUGAUAUUAGAUCCUCACCAAGCCUCCUGGAGGCUGAAAAUUAUUAUGUUGUUAUAUUUAUUCAUAUCUCUGUAUUGCUAAAAUCUGCCUGGAAACAAUGCGGAGACACAAGAACAAAAAAAAAAAUUCUGCAUUUCAAACCCAUUCCAAAGUCAAAAUAGUAAUAAUAGCUUUUUUUUUGGAG